This 490-nucleotide ribosomal RNA is filed under the name uncultured bacterium. RNAcentral's name for it is "partial 16S ribosomal RNA". It matches the Rfam family "Bacterial small subunit ribosomal RNA", at positions 28 to 507 of the family's 1533-position model. The record is from RNAcentral.
GAUGAACGCUAGCUACAGGCUUAACACAUGCAAGUCGCGGGGCAGCAUGGGGGUUGCUUGCAAUCCCCGAUGGCGACCGGCGCACGGGUGAGUAACGCGUAUCCAACCUGCCCUUCACCACGGGAUAACCCGGCGAAAGUCGGACUAAUACCGUAUGUUGUCCAUUGACGGCAUCCGAUUUGGACGAAAGGCUUGGCGGUGAGGGAUGGGGAUGCGUCCGAUUAGCCAGACGGCGGGGUAACGGCCCACCGUGGCUACGAUCGGUAGGGGUUCUGAGAGGAAGGUCCCCCACACUGGAACUGAGACACGGUCCAGACUCCUACGGGAGGCAGCAGUGAGGAAUAUUGGGCAAUGGGCGUAAGCCUGAACCAGCCAAGUAGCGUGCAGGAUGACGGCCCUACGGGUUGUAAACUGCUUUUAUGCGGGGAUAAAGUGGCCCACGUGUGGGCUUUUGCAGGUACCGCAUGAAUAAGGACCGGCUAAUUCCGUG